CUCUGCUGUCUGGACGAGUGGCUCUCUGGGGAACAAUGGUGUGGGAACAAGAACACCAUUGUUGUUCCUCUUUCCAUUUAUUUUUGGAGGAACUCAGGAAAGUGUUUGACCAGGCUGCAUCUGGCAGGGAGGCGGCAAGGGAAUUGGCUGAGUUACUUCAAGGAGAUCUAUCAGUUACGGAUUACUCUACUGAGUUUCGCACAUUGGCAGCGGAAUGCAAAUGGAACCAAGACGCACAGUGGGACAUGUUUAGGCAUGGGUUGGCCGACCAGAUAGUUAAGGAAAUUUACACUCUGGAAUUACCCACUUCACUUGACGGAUUGAUUGAUCUGGCCAUCCGAGGGGACAUUAGACUACAUCAGCUUGACCAGUUCACAGCUAUGGCAACGAAGAUGACCGAUCAUCAUUUCGAUCCCAUCACCCAUGCCACUGGGGAGGCCAUGGAGAAAUAUAUUUCUGAUUCUCUUGCAGCCAAGAUCAUCCGUCCUUCUUCUCCUGCAAGUGUGGGAUUUUUCUUUGUGGAAAAGAAAGAUGGUUCCCUGCAUCCUUCUAUCGACUAUCUAGGGUUCAAUAGUAUCACGGUAAAGAAUAAUGGCUGUUAUUGCACUUAUUUGCACUUAUCAAUUUACCCAUGUUGGACUAUACUAUUAUCCUACUGCUAUUUUUCUUGCCAUUUUAAAUUUUUUAAACUAUUAAGUUUUUCUAAUUUUUAUAUUUAUACAUUGUCCAGUACUUUUAACUGAAUCUGAAUGUCUUCUAUAUUUAUGACUGUGUAUUUAAAUGUCGGUAUGUCGUGUGUAACUUCAUGUUGCCUUGUACCCUGAGUCUUAUCUCGGCCAGGUCGCAGUUGCAAAUGAGAACCUGUUCUCAACCGAUUAACCUGGUUAAAUAAAGGUAAAAUAAAAUAAAUAAAUAAAUUUGCCGUUGAUGUCUUAAGCCUUCGAGAGUCUCCAGGGUGCUUCCUUUUUCACUAAGUGGAUCUUCACAAUGCCUAUAAAUUGGUUUGCAUAAGGGAGGGGGAUGAAUGAAAG
This is a long non-coding RNA of Cyprinus carpio (common carp), 1031 nucleotides long. NCBI's taxonomy places the organism in Eukaryota, Metazoa, Chordata, Actinopteri, Cypriniformes, Cyprinidae. The record is from Ensembl.